GCGAAGGUGGCGGAACUGGCAGACGCGCUGGAUUCAGGUUCCAGUCCUAGAAAUAGGGUGGAGGUUCAAGUCCUCUCCUUCGCACCA
This 87-nucleotide transfer RNA is filed under the name Polyangiaceae bacterium. RNAcentral describes it as "tRNA-Leu". It matches the Rfam family "tRNA". From Rfam's summary of the family: Transfer RNA (tRNA) molecules are approximately 80 nucleotides in length. Lineage: Bacteria; Pseudomonadati; Myxococcota; Polyangiales; Polyangiaceae. The record is from RNAcentral.